Small nucleolar RNA from Cavia porcellus (domestic guinea pig), 82 nucleotides. Ensembl annotates it as small nucleolar RNA snR60/Z15/Z230/Z193/J17. NCBI's taxonomy places the organism in Eukaryota, Metazoa, Chordata, Mammalia, Rodentia, Caviidae. The record is from Ensembl.
CCAAUACAGUGAUGAUAACAUAGUUCAGCAGACUAAUGCUGAUGAACAAUCACAAGUCUUUCGCUCCUAUCUGAUGUAUCUG